RNAcentral lists this unclassified non-coding RNA (265 nucleotides) under Hevea brasiliensis (rubber tree). The record is from RNAcentral. Lineage: Eukaryota; Viridiplantae; Streptophyta; Magnoliopsida; Malpighiales; Euphorbiaceae.
ACUCACCACACACAUCCCUUGAUUCUCAUCAAUGCAGAUGCCAUGUAACUGCAAAAUAUUCCGAUGCCCGCAGCUCAUGAGCUGCAAGAGAUCCUGCCGCACCUCAACAUCGUACACACUCCCCCGAUCGCACCCCUUCAGCUUCUUGAUCCACACCUUCUUCCCUCUGUACACGCCCUUAAACGACGUCGCGCCGUUCCGGUCUGCAUACUCGAUGUCAUCGGGAUUCAAUAACCACCGGGCGAUGUCCUCCCCGCCGGAUCUG